Molecule: transfer RNA, 609 nt
Filed under: Mesorhizobium tamadayense
Lineage: Bacteria; Pseudomonadati; Pseudomonadota; Alphaproteobacteria; Hyphomicrobiales; Phyllobacteriaceae
Description: partial 16S-23S ribosomal RNA intergenic spacer
Rfam family: tRNA (bases 154-227)
Source: RNAcentral
AACAAGACAGAAGAUAGUCAAUCUCACGAUCGCGUAUACUUGAAGCGGGUAUGCCGCCUUGGCGUCUCUUUCUUCGGGAAAGACUAACCUCCCGUUUGCUAUGAGCACAAGGAGCUCAUUGCCGGUGCAAGCGCUGCAGCAAGCUUGAGUUUAGAGCUUGUAGUUCUGUCAGGUAGAGCGCGCGCAGUAUAAGCGUGAGGUUGGAGGUUCAAGUCCUCUCAGGUCCAGCGGUAACAGUGCAACGUGAAUCAGCGUCGAGAGCGGUCACUACGCUAGCGAGGCGUUCUGGGUUCGUAGCUCUGCGGGUAGAGCACCUCGUGAUCAACCAGGUUGUCGUGAGUGCGCUAUCGUCAGGGUUCAUCGACUCGCGAUCCGCAGGAUCGCGCUUAGGUGUUGAGUAGAGAUUGAGGGGAAAGUCAUUCGAAAAUGAGUUUGCGGCGAGCUUAGCGCUCCCCGCCUGUUCUGUUUGACAUCGUAAAGAGAAGAUUUGUUCGAACUUCAUGGUCCGCGAGGAUCGUGAUUUGUCGCAAGGGAUGCUCAAUCCCUUGCCUAUGAUGGGUAAGCCUAACCGCGCCCUCGAACCGAUCUCGAGAAGCUGGUCUUUUUGUG